Molecule: ribosomal RNA, 257 nt
Filed under: uncultured bacterium
Lineage: Bacteria
Description: partial 16S ribosomal RNA
Rfam family: Bacterial small subunit ribosomal RNA
Source: RNAcentral
UACAGAGACCUCAAGCGUUAUCCGGAAUCAUUGGGCGUAAAGCGUACCGAUCGGUGGUUUUGCAAGUCAGAAGUGAAAUUCCAAGGCUCAACCUUGGGACUGUCUUUUGAAACUGCAAAGCUAGAGGGGCAAAGAGGAAGCUGGAACGAACGGUGUAGUAGUGAAAUGCGUUGAUAUCGUUCGGAACACCAAUAGCGAAGGCAGGCUUCUGGGUGCCACCUGACACUGCUAGGACGAAAGCGUGGGGAGCGAAUGGG